GACUACUGCAGCAUGCAGCAUGCACUAUGCAACCCCCCCACCCUCCUGAAUCCCAAAAGAAACAUCAGGGCCCAGUCAGUGAAGACCUCGGAUGGACAACGCUGGAUCGAUUCCGUUAACGGCCGGCAAAGCAGAUCAAAACUUCCUUUUGAGAACUUUCAUGUGAAUCUUCACUGCGAAAAGGUCUGAACAUUGUGGGUCGAGUCGAGUAAAAUUAAAUCUCUCCUUCAGAUGGCUCUCAGAUGUUUCCUCUCCCCGGGUGUUAGUUUUUGGGCCUUGCGGAUAAAGGAAAUGCAGCUGAACGUAAGAGCGGGGACCCCGUUUCAGUCUCCCCUCGAGCAGCUCCAUCUGACCGGUGUUUCCUCCGCAGCGGAUCCCUCCCGCGCUGCUGCAUACGUGUGGUCACUUUGUGUGUGUCAACGCAGAGGGUACGCGAGGCCACCGUGACCCCGGAUGGCUGCACACACACACGUACCGACGCUCGGUGCUUUGUGUGCACCUUUGUCCGUGUGUGUGUGUGUGUGUGUGUGUGUGCGCCCGCUCUCCUAGAUCUCUGUUACAGCCCGUCCAUUGUGGAGGAGAGUGUUGAGCAAGAUCCUGACCCACCGGCGAGGACUAAUCAGACGCAUUCCUCGGGAUUAAACGGCCAAUUAACAAUAAGGGAGCCAUUGUGGCCCCUUCCCCUUGUGCGUCACGGUUAAAAGGUUUUGUGUGUGUGUGUGUUACGUGUUGCAGCGAGCGCGUGUGUGCAAGGUGCUUUUUUUGGCCGUUCCAAAAAGCACUUGUUGUGGGUUUCACACCAACGUGCACGCCACGGCUGCACGGAAAAAAGAAGCACUUUUUAAAAACGGCGUGCAUUUAAAACAACCUGACAGGGACGUAAUAGACUGAGAGAAGGAGGAUUAUGCCAAAUAGUGUCUGCAAGUCACAAGAUGUGCGUGCGUUUGACACAGGGCUCCUCAUGAUGCAAGUUAAUCCCGGGUCUGUUCGGGCAGCGGCCCACCUGGCCUCCUCCGCAUAGCCAUGCAAACAAAAAGGGAUUCAUGUUCUAUUCCGUCUAUUUGUGCUUUUCACGUGCAUAAAUGUGUGCAUGCAUAGUGUCUUCAUCAACCGUGCGUGUGUGUCUGUAUGUAUGUGUGUGUGUGUGUAUACAAUAUGCAUCAGUGUGGCACGUGUCGGAGUGUGGCGGAGGAUUAGUGAUGCUCAGGCCCUGUUGCUCCACUUCCAAGCUUCCUACUGGCUACUGC
This is a long non-coding RNA of Gasterosteus aculeatus aculeatus (three-spined stickleback), 1247 nucleotides long. Lineage: Eukaryota; Metazoa; Chordata; Actinopteri; Perciformes; Gasterosteidae. The record is from Ensembl.